GAAGGCAAGCGGAUCUCUUAAAGCCGUUCUCAGUUCGGACUGUAGGCUGCAACCGCCUACACGAAGCUGGAAUCGCUAGUAAUCGCGGAUCAGCACGCCGCGGUGAAUACGUUCCCGGGCCUUGUACACACCGCCCGUCACACCAUGAGAGUCUGUAACACCCAAAGCCGGUGGGAUAACCUUUAUAGGAGUCAGCCGUCUAAGGUAGGACAGAUGAUUAGGGUGAAGUCGUAACAAGGUACC
Molecule: ribosomal RNA, 243 nt
Filed under: uncultured bacterium
Lineage: Bacteria
Description: partial 16S ribosomal RNA
Rfam family: Bacterial small subunit ribosomal RNA
Source: RNAcentral